CGAAGGAUCCAAGCGUUGUCCGGAUUUACUGGGUUUAAAGGGUGCGUAGGCGGACUAUUAAGUCAGUGGUGAAAGCUUGCAGCUUAACUGUAAAAUUGCCAUUGAAACUGAUAGUCUCGAAUAUGGUUGAGGUAGUUGGAAUGUAUCAUGUAGCGGUGAAAUGCUUAGAUAUGAUACAGAACACCGAUUGCGAAGGCAGAUUACUAAACCACUAUUGACGCUGAGGCACGAAAGCGUGGGGAUCAAACAGGAUUAGAUACCCUGGUAGUCCACGCCCUAAACGUUGCAUACUCGGUUUUAGCGAUAUACCGUUAGGACCCAAGCGAAAGCGUUAAGUAUGCCACCUGGGAAGUACGUCCGCAAGGAUG
This 368-nucleotide ribosomal RNA is filed under the name uncultured organism. Its description in RNAcentral is "bacterial SSU rRNA". It matches the Rfam family "Bacterial small subunit ribosomal RNA", at positions 526 to 896 of the family's 1533-position model. The record is from RNAcentral.